CAUUGAGUAACUUAUAGUAAGUGAUGGUCUCUUAAACCACUUAAAGAUAAUGUAACGUCUAUCCUCAAUGG
This 71-nucleotide transfer RNA is filed under the name Erianthus versicolor. RNAcentral's name for it is "tRNA-Lys". The record is from RNAcentral. Lineage: Eukaryota; Metazoa; Arthropoda; Insecta; Orthoptera; Chorotypidae.